GGUCCGAUAGCUCAACUGGAUAGAGCAUCAGCCUUCUAAGCUGACGGUUCGGGGUUCGAGUCCCUGUCGGAUCACUA
Molecule: transfer RNA, 77 nt
Filed under: Cytophagia bacterium
Lineage: Bacteria; Pseudomonadati; Bacteroidota; Cytophagia
Description: tRNA-Arg
Rfam family: tRNA
About the family: Transfer RNA (tRNA) molecules are approximately 80 nucleotides in length. Their secondary structure includes four short double-helical elements and three loops (D, anti-codon, and T loops).
Source: RNAcentral